RNAcentral lists this ribosomal RNA (207 nucleotides) under uncultured bacterium. RNAcentral describes it as "partial 16S ribosomal RNA". It matches the Rfam family "Bacterial small subunit ribosomal RNA", at positions 568 to 776 of the family's 1533-position model. The record is from RNAcentral.
CACGUAGGCGGCUUGUUAAGUCAGGGGUGAAAUCCUGGAGCUCAACUCCAGAACUGCCUUUGAUACUGGCGAGCUUGAGUCCGGGAGAGGUGAGUGGAACUGCGAGUGUAGAGGUGAAAUUCGUAGAUAUUCGCAAGAACACCAGUGGCGAAGGCGGCUCACUGGCCCGGUACUGACGCUGAGGUCGAAGCGUGGGAGGCAAACCAA